GACUCCCGUCCUUCUUAUGUUAUGACGCGUUGCCCCUAAAGCGCCGGAUUCCCAGGUGAGACCCGAUCGUGUGAAUCCGCGUGACCGGGCAUUCUGUCACUGUCUGCACAAAAAGGCGUUCCACACAAAGUGCAAAUUCGGAAAAAUCGAGCUGGAAUGUGGUGAGGGUAUUCGUUGUCUGACCACAAACUCUUUCGAUUUCGAAACACUCUUGACGUCCCUUCCGUUCAUCCCCAAACACUCCAAUCGAAAACAGGAACCCAUCGAUGCCCAAUCCCGCGAGAAUGACAAAUGGCUCCUUGAAGUUCCUGCUGGUCACGCUGCUGCUGACUAUAAUGCUCGAUGUUGUCAUCUGUUCACCGGAUUCUGAUGAGGAAAUCCUCCCCUCUUUCGACAAAAGUGAUUGCAUGAGAGGAUCGUUGAAAUGCCGCGAGCAAUGCAGACAGAACUCUUGGAAAACCGGAUUCUGUUCCGAGAUUUUCGAGUGUCACUGUGUCGGACAUUAGGACAUUCCCUCCUUAAGCUCAAGAUGAUGACCCCGGUUUGCAGCGACGACCUAGCAGGAUUAUAGGUUUAAAAGCAUUCAAAUUUCCCUGAAUAAAUGGAAGGAAGAAGA
Molecule: long non-coding RNA, 616 nt
Organism: Galendromus occidentalis (western predatory mite)
Lineage: Eukaryota; Metazoa; Arthropoda; Arachnida; Mesostigmata; Phytoseiidae
Exons: 3
Source: RefSeq, a predicted model, not a curated record